This 497-nucleotide ribosomal RNA is filed under the name uncultured bacterium. RNAcentral's name for it is "partial 16S ribosomal RNA". It matches the Rfam family "Bacterial small subunit ribosomal RNA", at positions 28 to 507 of the family's 1533-position model. The record is from RNAcentral.
GAUGAACGCUGGCGGCGUGCCUAAUACAUGCGAGUCGAGCGAACAGACGAGGAGCUUGCUCCUCUGACGUUAGCGGCGGACGGGUGAGUAACACGUGGAUAACCUACCUAUCAGACUGGGAUAACUUCGGGAAACCGGAGCUAAUACCGGAUAAUAUAUUGAACCGCAUGGUUCAAUAGUGAAAGACGGUUUUGCUGUCACUUAUAGAUGGAUCCGCGCCGCAUUAGCUAGUUGGUAAGGUAAAGGCUUACCAAGGCAACGAUGCGUAGCCGACCUGAGAGGGUGAUCGGCCACACUGGAGCUUAGACACGGUCCAGACUCCUACGGGAGGCAGCAGUAGGGAAUCUUCCGCAAUGGGCGAAAGCCUGACGGAGCAACGCCGCGUGAGUGAUGAAGGUCUUCGGAUCGUAAAACUCUGUUAUUAGGGAAGAACAAAUGUGUAAGUAACUAUGCACGUCUUGACGGUACCUAAUCAGAAAGCCACGGCUAACUACGUG